UAGUCAGAAACGACUGUUAUCGUAGAAGGUUUCGGCCCUUCCUUAGGUGGUGUAACCCACCCUGACUAU
This 69-nucleotide transfer RNA is filed under the name Lottia goshimai. RNAcentral describes it as "tRNA-Arg". Lineage: Eukaryota; Metazoa; Mollusca; Gastropoda; Lottiidae. The record is from RNAcentral.